RNAcentral lists this ribosomal RNA (433 nucleotides) under uncultured bacterium. RNAcentral's name for it is "partial 16S ribosomal RNA". It matches the Rfam family "Bacterial small subunit ribosomal RNA", at positions 29 to 507 of the family's 1533-position model. The record is from RNAcentral.
AAUGAACGCUGGCGGCAUGCCUAACACAUGCAAGUCGAACGAGACCUCCGGGCUUAGUGGCGCACGGGUUCGCAACGGGUUGGAUACUGCCUUUAUGAUCGGAAUAACUCUCUGAAAGGGGUGCUAAAACCGGAUAAUAUCUUCGGACAAAAGAUUUAUCGCCUUUGGAUGGGCUCGCGUUGGAUUUGGUUGUUGGUAGGGUAAAAGCCUACCCAGGUGAUGAUUCAUAGCUGGUCUGAGAGGGUGCCCAGCCACACUGGGACUGAGACACGGACCAGACUCCUACGCAGGGCAGCAGUAGGGAAUAUUGGACAAUGGGCGAAAGUCUGAUCCAGCAAUGCCGCGUGAGUGAUGAAGGCCUUAGGAUUGUAAAGCUCUUUUACCCGAGAUGAUAAUGACAGUACCGGGAGAAUAAGCACCGGCUAACUCCGUG